GUUGCCAGCAGGCCCUUGUGGUGCUGGGGACUCACGGGAGACCGCCGGGGUCAACUCGGAGGAAGGUGGGGACGACGUCAAGUCAUCAUGCCCCUUAUGUCUUGGGCUGCACACGUGCUACAAUGGCCGGUACAAUGAGCUGCGAUACCGUGAGGUGGAGCGAAUCUCAAAAAGCCGGUCUCAGUUCGGAUUGGGGUCUGCAACUCGACCCCAUGAAGUCGGAGUCGCUAGUAAUCGCAGAUCAGCAUUGCUGCGGUGAAUACGUUCCCGGGCCUUGUACACACCGCCCGUCACGUCACGAAAGUCGGUAACACCCGAAGCCGGUGGCCCAACCCCUUGUGGGAGGGAGCUGUCGAAGGUGGGACUGGCGAUUGGGACGAAGUCGUAACAAGGUAGCCGUACCGGAAGGUGCGGCUGGAUCACCUCCUUU
RNAcentral lists this ribosomal RNA (430 nucleotides) under Streptomyces althioticus subsp. attaecolombicae. RNAcentral's name for it is "bacterial SSU rRNA". It matches the Rfam family "Bacterial small subunit ribosomal RNA", at positions 1114 to 1533 of the family's 1533-position model. The record is from RNAcentral. Lineage: Bacteria; Bacillati; Actinomycetota; Actinomycetes; Kitasatosporales; Streptomycetaceae.